UGGCAAUACAGUACAAAUAUAGUGUGUUUGAUUUGCACUGUAGUUGCAUUGUAUUGCCACU
RNAcentral lists this microRNA precursor (61 nucleotides) under Nomascus leucogenys (northern white-cheeked gibbon). Its description in RNAcentral is "mir-4703 microRNA precursor family". It matches the Rfam family "mir-4703 microRNA precursor family". The record is from Rfam by way of RNAcentral. Lineage: Eukaryota; Metazoa; Chordata; Mammalia; Primates; Hylobatidae.